GGUCUCUGGACCGGGAUUCCCGUGCCAGAGACCGCGGCCAAGCCGAAUGUGUCUGUGUAUGUCCACUGGGUUUAAAAGAUUAGUAUAACUCAGAGAGGACAGUUUCUGCAAUCAAGAUGUCCAAUUAAUAAAUGCAGCAGCAGCAGCAGCAGCAGCAGCAGAGGCAUGCUAUGGGUCAGUGCACACCAGCACAGAUAAGAGGAGUGUGUGAUCAGG
Molecule: long non-coding RNA, 216 nt
Organism: Pseudophryne corroboree (corroboree frog)
Lineage: Eukaryota; Metazoa; Chordata; Amphibia; Anura; Myobatrachidae
Exons: 3
Source: RefSeq, a predicted model, not a curated record